This 404-nucleotide ribosomal RNA is filed under the name uncultured bacterium. RNAcentral's name for it is "bacterial SSU rRNA". It matches the Rfam family "Bacterial small subunit ribosomal RNA", at positions 355 to 776 of the family's 1533-position model. The record is from RNAcentral.
UAGGGAAUAUUAGUAAUGGGCGAAAGCCUGAACUAGCAACGCCGCGUGUGCGAAGAAGGCCUUCGGGUUGUAAAGCACUUUUUGAGAGGAUGAGGAAGGACGGUACUCUCAGAAUAAGUCUCGGCUAACUACGUGCCAGCAGCCGCGGUAACACGUAGGAGGCGAACGUUAUCCGGAUUUACUGGGCGUAAAGCGCGUGUAGGUGGUUUGGUAAGUAGGGCGUGAAAGCUCCUGGCUCAACUGGGAGAGGCCGUUCUAAACUGCCGAACUAGAGGAUGGUAGAGGGAGGUGGAAUUCCGGGUGUAGCGGUGGAAUGCGCAGAUAUCCGGAGGAACACCAGUGGCGAAAGCGGCCUCCUGGACCAUUCCUGACACUCAGACGCGAAAGCUAGGGUAGCAAACGGG